RNAcentral lists this ribosomal RNA (622 nucleotides) under uncultured Bacillota bacterium. RNAcentral's name for it is "bacterial SSU rRNA". It matches the Rfam family "Bacterial small subunit ribosomal RNA", at positions 55 to 529 of the family's 1533-position model. Lineage: Bacteria; Bacillati; Bacillota. The record is from RNAcentral.
AUGCAAGUCGAACGGAUGCAAUAUUCGACACAGAAUGGCGAAUAUUGCAAUUGAGAAUUGAAAAUUGAGAGUUGAGAAUUAAGGUGUCACUUCGUGACGAUUAUAGAAAUCGUGGCGAAGCCAAUCUUUCAUUCUCCACUCUCCAUUCUCCACUCUCAAUUGCAAUAUUCACCACUGUGUGUUGAAUAUUGCGUUAGUGGCGGACGGGUGAGUAACGCGUGAGCAAUCUGCCUUCAAGAGGGGGAUAACACAUAGAAAUGUGUGCUAAUACCGCAUAACGUAUAGGAUUGACAUCAGUUUUAUACCAAAGAUUCAUCGCUUGAAGAUGAGCUCGCGUCUGAUUAGCUAGUUGGUAGGGUAACGGCCUACCAAGGCGACGAUCAGUAGCCGGACUGAGAGGUUGAACGGCCACAUUGGGACUGAGACACGGCCCAGACUCCUACGGGAGGCAGCAGUGGGGAAUAUUGCGCAAUGGGGGAAACCCUGACGCAGCAACGCCGCGUGAAGGAAGAAGGCCUUAGGGUUGUAAACUUUUGUCUUUAGGGAAGAACGCCUUAGGGCUUGACGGUACCUAAGGAGGAAGCCACGGCUAACUACGUGCCAGCAGCCGCGGUAAUACGUA